Molecule: transfer RNA, 70 nt
Filed under: Dipodomys ordii (Ord's kangaroo rat)
Lineage: Eukaryota; Metazoa; Chordata; Mammalia; Rodentia; Heteromyidae
Rfam family: tRNA
About the family: Transfer RNA (tRNA) molecules are approximately 80 nucleotides in length. Their secondary structure includes four short double-helical elements and three loops (D, anti-codon, and T loops).
Source: Rfam by way of RNAcentral
GGGAAAGUGGCUCAGUGGUAGAGCGCUCGCCUCGCGUGCAGGAGGCCCUGGGUUCCAUUCCUCAGUCCCA